This 214-nucleotide ribosomal RNA is filed under the name uncultured bacterium. RNAcentral's name for it is "partial 16S ribosomal RNA". It matches the Rfam family "Bacterial small subunit ribosomal RNA", at positions 524 to 737 of the family's 1533-position model. The record is from RNAcentral.
UACGUAGGUGGCAAGCGUUGUCCGGAUUUAUUGGGUUUAAAGGGUGCGUAGGCGGCCCUGUAAGUCAGUGCUGAAAUACCCCGGCUUAACCGGGGGGGCGGCAUUGAUACUGCAGGGCUUGAGUACAGAUGAGGUAGGCGGAAUUGACGGUGUAGCGGUGAAAUGCAUAGAUAUCGUCAAGAACACCGAUAGCGAAGGCAGGUUACGGGGCUGU